AGCUGUAUAUCUUAUCAUAAUUAAUUGUUAGCGAGCAGCAAAUUAAAAAGAGAAAAGGUUAUUUCCUUGAUUACGUCUCAAUUAAUUUUAAGUACCUUUUUAUAUGAAAAUUCAUUAAUCUUGAUUCUUUAUUAUGUAGAUAUAAUUUGGAGAAUUUUUAUUCGAUGAUGAAACUGAUAUAUAUACAACAAUGAGAUUCAAGCCAUGUGCAAUUAUUGUAUGAUUUUAUUAUAAAAUUUCUCCCAAAUUAUAUGCUAAGUGAAAGGUUGCAUUUCGUUACAUACCCACAAACAGAAUGUAUAGUGCCAAAAUGAUCGAAACUGAAGCCACCCCAAAGGCAAACAUUCUUUUUUCUUGCUGCAAGAGAAUACUAUUUAUAAUAAUAAGUAUUUGGAUAUUCAUAGUGAUGGUCGAUCGCAUGCUUUUUGAGACCCAUUACUGAAUGUAUGUUUUCAUUUUGUAUUUAGAGAGAGAGAGAGAGAGA
Molecule: unclassified non-coding RNA, 484 nt
Filed under: Hevea brasiliensis (rubber tree)
Lineage: Eukaryota; Viridiplantae; Streptophyta; Magnoliopsida; Malpighiales; Euphorbiaceae
Source: RNAcentral